UACGAAGGGGGCUAGCGUUGCUCGGAAUCACUGGGCGUAAAGCGCACGUAGGCGGGUCCUUAAGUCAGGGCUGAAAUCCCGGAGCUCAACUCCGGAACUGCCUUUGAUACUGGGGAUCUUGAGUCCGGAAGAGGUGAGUGGAACUCCGAGUGUAGAGGUGAAAUUCGUAGAUAUUCGGAAGAACACCAGUGGCGAAGGCGGCUCACUGGUCCGGUACUGACGCUGAGGUGCGAAAGCGUGGGGAGCAAACAGG
Molecule: ribosomal RNA, 253 nt
Filed under: uncultured bacterium
Lineage: Bacteria
Description: partial 16S ribosomal RNA
Rfam family: Bacterial small subunit ribosomal RNA
Source: RNAcentral